RNAcentral lists this ribosomal RNA (497 nucleotides) under uncultured bacterium. RNAcentral's name for it is "partial 16S ribosomal RNA". It matches the Rfam family "Bacterial small subunit ribosomal RNA", at positions 28 to 507 of the family's 1533-position model. The record is from RNAcentral.
GAUGAACGCUGGCGGCGUGCCUAAUACAUGCAAGUCGAGCGAACAGAUAAGGAGCUUGCUCCUUUGACGUUAGCGGCGGACGGGUGAGUAACACGUGGGUAACCUACCUAUAAGACUGGGAUAACUUCGGGAAACCGGAGCUAAUACCGGAUAAUAUUUCGAACCGCAUGGUUCGAUAGUGAAAGAUGGUUUUGCUAUCACUUAUAGAUGGACCCGCGCCGUAUUAGCUAGUUGGUAAGGUAACGGCUUACCAAGGCGACGAUACGUAGCCGACCUGAGAGGGUGAUCGGCUACACUGGAACUGAGACACGGUCCAGACCCCGACGGGAGGCAGCAGUAGGGAAUCUUCCGCAAUGGGCGAAAGCCUGACGGAGCAACGCCGCGUGAGUGAUGAAGGUCUUCGGAUCGUAAAACUCUGUUAUUAGGGAAGAACAUACGUGUAAGUAACUGUGCACGUCUUGACGGUACCUAAUCAGAAAGCCACGGCUAACUACGUG